RNAcentral lists this long non-coding RNA (1194 nucleotides) under Chloebia gouldiae (Gouldian finch). Its description in RNAcentral is "Erythrura gouldiae (Gouldian finch) lncRNA (ENSEGOG00005011009.1)". Lineage: Eukaryota; Metazoa; Chordata; Aves; Passeriformes; Passeridae. The record is from RNAcentral.
GGGGCCGGGAUAAGCAGGGCGGGGCCAGGACAAGCAGGGCGGGCCCGGGAUAGGCAGGGCGGUGCAGGCGGGGCCGGGCGGGAGCGGCCUCCGGGUCCGGGCACGUUCUGGGCAGCCGCAGUGAUCGUACAGCGCUCCGGCCCCAUGGAGGCGGCGCGGCCGCAGCCCGCGGUGGGGCCGGAGCCGCGCGCCGAGGAGAUCGACAUGUCCUUGGGACACAGGAGUUUCUUGAUAGGAAAUGACAAGGGACCAGUGCUGGAGGUCUGAUAAUUCAUGAUGACAUCAUAAAGCGCCACAGGAAAGAGCAGACAGAUGCCAGUGCCUUGGGCGACAGCAGAAGGCAGCAGGUCAAGAACAGGAGUUCAGCCUCCGGAUAUAGGCGGCCCCAGUACCGACCCUGGAAGCAGAGGAAUUUGCAAGGACCUAACCGUUUCCGAAGAGGGCUUGGACAGCAGCAGUUCAAUCGGAGACAAUUCAGGAAUGCUUUGCCUGGUCACAAAAGACGAGCAGCUGCUGCAUUUGAUGGAGUGAGUCCUUUAAAUCGCCAAGCAUCAGCUCAGGAGGGCACCAAGAAGAGCAAUGCUUUUGCCAAAAGCAGCAGUGGGCAGCAGGAGGAACAGCCACAGCCAUCUCCAGGCACCAAGAGAUUCAGAGCAGAUGUUGCCAGCAUCUGCACCCCAGAGAGAAGCAGGCCUUUCCUGCUGAACAGGGGAUCGGCGUUCCAGCAGAAGCGGGUGCAGCAGUGGGUCUCCAAAGCCCGCUUCCAGAGAGGGCAGAUGGCGUCUCAAAGAGAAGGGAAAUUGCCAAGGAUGAGAAGGUGGCAAGUGAAACCCAGCCCAGGAGCAAUUCUGACUGUUUCUGUGGUUAAUCCCCAGGCAGGCCAGCCCAGCCUGCCUGGAUCCAAGCACCCAUUCCAGCAAAGCCAGAGACCCCCAGCACGGGUGGCCAAGCCCCAGCCCAAGGGGGUACUGCUGAGAUUCAACUUCCGCGCCAUGGCCAACCAGACCAGCCUGACGCUGGAUGAGAGGUUCUCUAGUCUGAGGAAUAAGAGGCGCUUUACAGCAGCCAGGAGCGCCGGACGGACGGUCACCAUGCCUUAGGACCGCGUGCUCAUCAUAGGGACUGCCUGUGACAGUCCAGGCUCCAUGGCAAGGCCUCAAUAAAAGUCGCUAGAUUCCCUUUGAGAUAGCUGAU